Molecule: ribosomal RNA, 112 nt
Filed under: Callithrix jacchus (white-tufted-ear marmoset)
Lineage: Eukaryota; Metazoa; Chordata; Mammalia; Primates; Cebidae
Source: RNAcentral
GUCUACAGCCCUACCCCACUGAAUGCUCCUGAUCUCGUGAAGCUAUAAGCAGGGUCAGGCCUGGCUGGGACUUAGAUGAGAGACCAACUGGAAACACCGGGUGCUGUAGAAU